UUAUAAGCCUGGUGAUAGUUUGACAAGGCUUUGGUGGAGGUUGUGUUAGUGUGUCCAUGGGUAGUGUUAUGAGCCUGGUGAUAGUUUGACAAGGCUUUGGUGGAGGUUGUGUUAGUGUGUCCAUGGGUAGUGUUAUGAGCCUGGUGAUAGUUUGACAAGGCUUUGGUGGAGGUUGUGUUAGUGUGUCCAUGGGUAGUGUUAUGAGCCUGGUGAUAGUUUGACAAGGCUUUGGUGGAGGUUGUGUUAGUGUGUCCAUGGGUAGUGUUAUGAGCCUGGUGAUAGUUUGACAAGGCUUUGGUGGAGGUUGUGUUAGUGUGUCCAUGGGUAGUGUUAUGAGCCUGGUGAUAGUUUGACAAGGCUUUGGUGGAGGUUGUGUUAGUGUGUCCAUGGGUAGUGUUAUGAGCCUGGUGAUAGUUUGACAAGGCUUUGGUGGAGGUUGUGUUAGUAUGUCCAUGGGUAGUGUUAUGAGCCUGGUGAUAGUUUGACAAGGCUUUGGUGGAGGUUGUGUUAGUGUGUCCAUGGGUAGUGUUAUGAGCCUGGUGAUAGUUUGACAAGGCUUUGGUGGAGGUUGUGUUAGUGUGUCCAUGGGUAGUGUUAUGAGCCUGGUGAUAGUUUGACAAGGCUUUGGUGGAGGUUGUGUUAGUGUGUCCAUGGGUAGUGUUAUGAGCCUGGUGAUAGUUUGACAAGGCUUUGGUGGAGGUUGUGUUAGUGUGUCCAUGGGUAGUGUUAUGAGCCUGGU
Long non-coding RNA from Eriocheir sinensis (Chinese mitten crab), 739 nucleotides. RefSeq lists it as uncharacterized. NCBI's taxonomy places the organism in Eukaryota, Metazoa, Arthropoda, Malacostraca, Decapoda, Varunidae. The record is from RefSeq and is a predicted model, not a curated record. The transcript has 3 exons.